AGAUGGCGACCGGCGCACGGGUGAGUAACACGUAUCCAACCUGCCGAUAACUCGGGGAUAGCCUUUCGAAAGAAAGAUUAAUACCCGAUGGUAUAAUCAGACCGCAUGGUCUUGUUAUUAAAGAAUUUCGGUUAUCGAUGGGGAUGCGUUCCAUUAGGCAGUUGGUGAGGUAACGGCUCACCAAACCUUCGAUGGAUCGGGGUUCUGAGAGGAAGGUCCCCCACAUUGGAACUGAGACACGGUCCAA
This 247-nucleotide ribosomal RNA is filed under the name uncultured bacterium. Its description in RNAcentral is "partial 16S ribosomal RNA". It matches the Rfam family "Bacterial small subunit ribosomal RNA", at positions 86 to 334 of the family's 1533-position model. The record is from RNAcentral.